UUUCGGGCUCUGUGCAACUGCAGCCCGUGAACCCCGCCAGGGCCUGACGGCAGCAACGGUAGCGGAAACUGUGGUGUGCCGCGGAUCACCCGAAACCU
This 98-nucleotide signal recognition particle RNA is filed under the name Terriglobia bacterium. RNAcentral describes it as "signal recognition particle sRNA small type". It matches the Rfam family "Bacterial small signal recognition particle RNA". Rfam says of the family: The signal recognition particle (SRP) is a universally conserved ribonucleoprotein involved in the co-translational targeting of proteins to membranes. Lineage: Bacteria; Pseudomonadati; Acidobacteriota; Terriglobia. The record is from RNAcentral.